This 457-nucleotide ribosomal RNA is filed under the name uncultured bacterium. RNAcentral's name for it is "bacterial SSU rRNA". It matches the Rfam family "Bacterial small subunit ribosomal RNA", at positions 30 to 498 of the family's 1533-position model. The record is from RNAcentral.
AUUGAACGCUGGCGGCAUGCCUUACACAUGCAAGUCGAACGGCAGCACGGGGCAACCUGGUGGCGAGUGGCGAACGGGUGAGUAAUGCAUCGGAACGUGCCAUUGAGUGGGGGAUAACGUAGCGAAAGUUGCGCUAAUACCGCAUAUUCUGUGAGCAGGAAAGCAGGGGGACCGCAAGGCCUUGCGCUCUUUGAGCGGCCGAUGUCAGAUUAGCUAGUUGGUGAGGUAACGGCUUACCAAGGCGACGAUCUGUAGCGGGUCUGAGAGGAUGAUCCGCCACACUGGAACUGAGACACGGUCCAGACUCCUACGGGAGGCAGCAGUGGGGGAUUUUGGACAAUGGGCGCAAGCCUGAUCCAGCAAUGCCGCGUGAGUGAAGAAGGCCUCGGUUGGUAAAGGUACGUCUUUUCCUAGUUUGGUAAAAGGAAAAAGGUUAGUAGACUAAUAAUACAUAACU